This 335-nucleotide unclassified non-coding RNA is filed under the name soil metagenome. RNAcentral's name for it is "partial contains 5.8S ribosomal RNA, internal transcribed spacer 2, and large subunit ribosomal RNA". The stretch from base 1 to 120 matches the Rfam family "5.8S ribosomal RNA", at positions 35 to 154 of the family's 154-position model. The record is from RNAcentral.
GAUGAAGAACGUAGCGAAAUGCGAUAAGUAAUGUGAAUUGCAGAAUUCAGUGAAUCAUCGAAUCUUUGAACGCACAUUGCGCCCGCCAGUAUUCUGGCGGGCAUGCCUGUUCGAGCGUCAUUUCAACCAUCAAGCCCCCGGCUUGUGUUGGGGACCUGCGGCUGCCGCAGGCCCUGAAAACCAGUGGCGGGCUCGCUAGUCACUCCGAGCGUAGUAAUACAUCUCGCUCAGGGCGUGCUGCGGGUUCCGGCCGUUAAAAGCCUUAUUUUACCCAAGGUUGACCUCGGAUCAGGUAGGAAGACCCGCUGAACUUAAGCAUAUAAAUAAGCGGAGGA